GGCAAAACUGUCAACAUGUGCAAC
RNAcentral lists this non-coding RNA (24 nucleotides) under Arabidopsis thaliana (thale cress). The record is from RNAcentral. Lineage: Eukaryota; Viridiplantae; Streptophyta; Magnoliopsida; Brassicales; Brassicaceae.